Molecule: ribosomal RNA, 633 nt
Filed under: uncultured bacterium
Lineage: Bacteria
Description: bacterial SSU rRNA
Rfam family: Bacterial small subunit ribosomal RNA
Source: RNAcentral
CCUACGGGAGGCAGCAGUGGGGAAUUUUGGACAAUGGGCGAAAGCCUGAUCCAGCAAUGCCGCGUGAGUGAAGAAGGCCUUCGGGUUGUAAAGCUCUUUUGUCAGGGAAGAAACGGUGAGAGCUAAUAUCUUUUGCUAAUGACGGUACCUGAAGAAUAAGCACCGGCUAACUACGUGCCAGCAGCCGCGGUAAUACGUAGGGUGCAAGCGUUAAUCGGAAUUACUGGGCGUAAAGCGUGCGCAGGCGGUUUUGUAAGUCUGAUGUGAAAUCCCCGGGCUCAACCUGGGAAUUGCAUUGGAGACUGCAAGGCUAGAAUCUGGCAGAGGGGGGUAGAAUUCCACGUGUAGCAGUGAAAUGCGUAGAUAUGUGGAGGAACACCGAUGGCGAAGGCAGCCCCCUGGGUCAAGAUUGACGCUCAUGCACGAAAGCGUGGGGAGCAAACAGGAUUAGAUACCCUGGUAGUCCACGCCCUAAACGAUGUCUACUAGUUGUCGGGUCUUAAUUGACUUGGUAACGCAGCUAACGCGUGAAGUAGACCGCCUGGGGAGUACGGUCGCAAGAUUAAAAACUCAAAAUGAAGUUAGUACGGACGUGAGAGUUGCCGACGGACGACGACGAGGGGAGGGAGGGAG